AAACCCCCUCAAGCUCUUUGGCUUGGUUAUGGAGGUUGAGCUACACCCUUCGGUGACCUCACCUUCGAAAUUCAGAGGCGGAUUGCCCCGCGUUGCCCCGGCGUUAUAAGUUCGCUCUUUCGCUUGGAUUACACGGCCAUCUCGCCGCAAAGCUCCAAUCAUCUA
This 165-nucleotide unclassified non-coding RNA is filed under the name uncultured Otidea. Its description in RNAcentral is "sequence contains ITS2". Lineage: Eukaryota; Fungi; Ascomycota; Pezizomycetes; Pezizales; Pyronemataceae. The record is from RNAcentral.